RNAcentral lists this ribosomal RNA (269 nucleotides) under uncultured bacterium. RNAcentral describes it as "partial 16S ribosomal RNA". It matches the Rfam family "Bacterial small subunit ribosomal RNA", at positions 524 to 790 of the family's 1533-position model. The record is from RNAcentral.
GACAGAGGGUGCAAACGUUGCUCGGAAUUACUGGGCGUAAAGGGCGUGUAGGCGGGAAGGCAAGUCGGGCGUGAAAGCCCCAGGCUCAACCUGGGAACUGCACUCGAAACUGCCUUUCUUGAGUGCCGGAGAGGAAAGCGGAAUUCCUGGUGUAGAGGUGAAAUUCGUAGAUAUCAGGAGGAACACCAGUGGCGAAGGCGGCUUUCUGGACGGUAAACUGACGCUGAGACGCGAAAGCGUGGGAAGCAAACAGGAUUAAGAUACCCCGA